AUUUACAAAUAAAACAAAUUGAAUAUGAACAUUAUUUUGACAUUUGGUCUAAUCCAACCAGGUGAGCAAUACAGGCCCCAUGGGCCUCUUGUUUUGAUUAGGGGGUACAGGUUAUGUAUGUUAGCACCUUCCCACAUUGGUUUUAUUAUUAUACUUGAUGGACCAGUAUUGGCUACCUACCAGUCUACAGACAGGGAUCCAUGAUACUACAUGAUCUGUCCCUCAGAGACUAUACCUCGUGUUCAUUGGCUAUAGUAUUGUAACAGAAAAAUGCAUCUCUCUGUUAGCACGUACACAUCUGGUAGGCCCAGAAUAAAGUAUCUCUAUUGGUACGUACAUAUCUGGUAGGCCCAGAAUAAAGUAUCUCUAUUGGUACGUACACAUCUGGUAGGCCCAGAAUAAAGUAUCUCUAUUGGUACGUACAUAUCUGGUAGGCCCAGAAUAAAGUAUCUCUAUUGGUACGUACACAUCUGGUAGGCCCAGGAUAAAGUAUCUCUAUUGGUACGUACAUAUCUGGUAGGCCCAGAAUAAAGUAUCUCUAUUGGCACGUACAUAUCUGGUAGGCCCAGAAUAAAGUAUCUCUAUUGGUACGUACAUAUCUGGUAGGCCCAGAAUAAAGUAUCUCUAUUGGUACCUACAUAUCUGGUAGGCCCAGAAUAAAGUAUCUCUAUUGGUACGUACACAUCUGGUAGGCCCAGAAUAAAGUAUCUCUAUUGGCACGUACAUAUCUGGUAGGCCCAGAAUAAAGUAUCUAUUGGUACGUACAUAUCUGGUAGGCCCAGAAUAAAGUAUCUAUUGGUACGUACACAUCUGGUAGGCCCAGAAUAAAGUAUGUCUAUUGGUACGUACACAUCUGGUAGGCCCAGAAUAAAGUAUCUCUAUUGGUACGUACAUAUCUGGUAGGCCCAGGAUAAAGUAUCUCUAUUGGUACGUACAUAUCUGGUAGGCCCAGAAUAAAGUAUCUCUCUAUUGGUACGUACAUAUCUGGUAGGCCCAGAAUAAAGUAUCUCUAUUGGUACGUACAUAUCUGGUAGGCCCAGAAUAAAGUAUCUCUAUUGGUACGUACAUAUCUGGUAGGCCCAGGAUAAAGUAUCUCUAUUGGUACGUACAUAUCUGGUAGGCCCAGAAUAAAGUAUCUAUUGGUACGUACAUAUCUGGUAGGCCCAGAAUAAAGUAUCUCUAUUGGUACGUACACAUCUGGUAGGCCCAGAAUAAAGUAUCUCUGUUGGUACGUACAUAUCUGGUAGGCCCAGAAUAAAGUAUCUCUAUGUUGGUACGUACACAUCUGGUAGGCCCAGAAUAAAGUAUCUAUUGGUACGUACACAUCUGGUAGGCCCAGAAUAAAGUAUCUCUCUAUUGGCACGUACAUAUCUGGUAGGCCCAGAAUAAAGUAUCUCUAUUGGUACGUACACAUCUGGUAGGCCCAGGAUAAAGUAUCUCUAUGUUGGUACGUACACAUCUGGUAGGCCCAGAAUAAAGUAUCUCUAUGUUGGUACGUACACAUCUGGUAGGCCCAGAAUAAAGUAUAUCUCUAUUGGUACGUACAUAUCUGGUAGGCCCAGAAUAAAGUAUCUCUCUAUUGGUACGUACACAUCUGGUAGGCCCAGAAUAAAGUAUAUCUCUAUUGGUACGUACAUAUCUGGUAGGCCCAGAAUAAAGUAUCUCUCUAUUGGCACGUACAUAUCUGGUAGGCCCAGGAUAAAGUAUCUCUAUGUUGGUACGUACACAUCUGGUAGGCCCAGAAUAAAGUAUCUCUAUGUUGGUACGUACACAUCUGGUAGGCCCAGAAUAAAGUAUAUCUCUAUUGGUACGUACAUAUCUGGUAGGCCCAGAAUAAAGUAUCUCUCUAUUGGUACGUACAUAUCUGGUAGGCCCAGAAUAAAGUAUCUCUAUUGGUACGUACACAUCUGGUAGGCCCAGAAUAAAGUAUCUCUAUUGGUACGUACACAUCUGGUAGGCCCAGAAUAAAGUAUCUCUAUGUUGGCACGUACAUAUCUGGUAGGCCCAGAAUAAAGUAUCUCUAUUGGUACGUACACAUCUGGUAGGCCCAGAAUAAAGUAUCUCUAUUGGUACGUACACAUCUGGUAGGCCCAGAAUAAAGUAUCUCUAUUGGUACGUACAUAUCCGGUAGGCCCAGAAUAAAGUAUCUCUAUGUUGGCACGUACAUAUCUGGUAGGCCCAGGAUAAAGUAUCUCUAUUGGCACGUACACAUCUGGUAGGCCCAGAAUAAAGUAUAUAUUGGUACGUACAUAUCUGGUAGGCCCAGGAUAAAGUAUCUCUAUUGGUACGUACACAUCUGGUAGGCCCAGAAUAAAGUAUCUCUAUUGGUACGUACAUAUCUGGUAGGCCCAGGAUAAAGUAUCUCUAUUGGUACGUACACAUCUGGUAGGCCCAGAAUAAAGUAUCUCUAUUGGUACGUACAUAUCUGGUAGGCCCAGAAUAAAGUAUCUCUAUUGGUACGUACACAUCUGGUAGGCCCAGAAUAAAGUAUCUCUAUUGGUACGUACAUAUCUGGUAGGCCCAGAAUAAAGUAUCUCUGUUGGUACGUACAUAUCUGGUAGGCCCAGAAUAAAGUAUAUCUCUAUUGGUACGUACAUAUCUGGUAGGCCCAGAAUAAAGUAUCUCUAUGUUGGCACGUACACAUCUGGUAGGCCCAGGAUAAAGUAUCUCUAUUGGUACGUACAUAUCUGGUAGGCCCAGAAUAAAGUAUCUCUGUUGGUACGUACAUAUCUGGUAGGCCCAGAAUAAAGUAUAUCUCUAUUGGUACGUACAUAUCUGGUAGGUCCAGGAUAAAGUAUCUCUAUUGGUACGUACAUAUCUGGUAGGCCCAGGAUAAAGUAUCUCUAUUGGCACGUACACAUCUGGUAGGCCCAGGAUAAAGUAUCUCUAUUGGUACGUACAUAUCUGGUAGGCCCAGAAUAAAGUAUCUCUAUUGGUACGUACACAUCUGGUAGGCCCAGAAUAAAGUAUCUCUAUUGGUACGUACAUAUCUGGUAGGUCCAGGAUAAAGUAUCUCUAUUGGUACGUACAUAUCUGGUAGGCCCAGGAUAAAGUAUCUCUAUUGGCACGUACACAUCUGGUAGGCCCAGGAUAAAGUAUCUCUAUUGGUACGUACAUAUCUGGUAGGCCCAGAAUAAAGUAUCUCUAUUGGUACGUACACAUCUGGUAGGCCCAGAAUAAAGUAUCUCUGUUGGUACGUACAUAUCUGGUAGGCCCAGAAUAAAGUAUCUCUAUUGGUACGUACACAUCUGGUAGGCCCAGAAUAAAGUAUCUCUAUGUUGGCACGUACAUAUCUGGUAGGCCCAGAAUAAAGUAUCUCUAUUGGUACGUACAUAUCUGGUAGGCCCAGAAUAAAGUAUCUCUAUUGGUACGUACACAUCUGGUAGGCCCAGAAUAAAGUAUCUCUAUUGGUACGUACACAUCUGGUAGGCCCAGAAUAAAGUAUCUAUUGGUACGUACAUAUCUGGUAGGCCCAGAAUAAAGUAUCUCUAUUGGUACGUACAUAUCUGGUAGGCCCAGAAUAAAGUAUCUAUUGGUACGUACACAUCUGGUAGGCCCAGAAUAAAGUAUCUAUUGGUACGUACAUAUCUGGUAGGCCCAGAAUAAAGUAUCUAUUGGCACGUACAUAUCUGAUAGGCCCAGAAUAAAGUAUCUAUUGGUACGUACAUAUCUGGUAGGCCCAGAAUAAAGUAUCUAUUGGUACGUACACAUCUGGUAGGCCCAGAAUAAAGUAUCUAUUGGUACGUACAUAUCUGGUAGGCCCAGAAUAAAGUUGUAUGAAGUGAUUCUGAUGUCUUCUUCAUAUUGAGUUAAAAAGUAUGCAGGUGUGAUUUGUUAAAAAAUCAGUUGGGUAUAUUUGAUCUCAAAAUCAGGAGGUUGAUGAAGAUAACUGUCAAAAGUAAUAUGAUGAAAUGUUUUAAUGUGUCUGUUAGCAAAAAAUAAACUUGUUUGAUAGCAAUA
This is a long non-coding RNA of Pecten maximus, 3960 nucleotides long. RefSeq lists it as uncharacterized. The transcript is spliced from 2 exons. Lineage: Eukaryota; Metazoa; Mollusca; Bivalvia; Pectinida; Pectinidae. The record is from RefSeq and is a predicted model, not a curated record.